Molecule: long non-coding RNA, 585 nt
Organism: Maniola jurtina (meadow brown)
Lineage: Eukaryota; Metazoa; Arthropoda; Insecta; Lepidoptera; Nymphalidae
Exons: 3
Source: RefSeq, a predicted model, not a curated record
UAGAGCGGGACGCACGGACGGACAAUCGAGCCGUUAUUCAGUCAAUGUGAUCGCUUGAAACGGCGAGCGCGUGAACUUUAAAAAAAAACUUAAACAUUUUCGAUUGUCUAUGUACCCGUGUGACAGCGCGCGAAUUUCAAAACAACGUUCCAUUUCGCCACCAUUUUAAAUUAGGUCGUUUAUCGUGUACAGAUUGGAUUAUUAGGUGUUUUAUUAUACGCCGAUUGGAUUACUUAAGUUUGGAGUUUAUAGUAAAAAGUUUUUGUAUGUGGGUGUUUUAUAGUGUUGUAUGUUCAGUAGUAUAAAGUGAAGUGAGAAAAGUUAUAGCGUUGAAUGAGAUGUGUCAAUGGAGUGAGCGCAUGCGUAAGCGCGUUUCCAUUCAUAAGAUUAUGUUAGGUACUUACUGAAGUGAACUGCUUCAAUCUCUGUUGCGUGAUAAAUGAGAUCGCCUGUUCGUGACAAUCACCAAUGAUAAGAAACAUGAGAACGCCUGUCUAACCAACAGUCCAAAAUUAGAAUCAGUGAUCUCGAAAUGGAGAUGGAGGCCAGACCAACCAGCUGAUAGGCACUCCGAAGCGUGGAAGC